Non-coding RNA from Pantherophis guttatus, 294 nucleotides. The record is from RefSeq and is a predicted model, not a curated record. Lineage: Eukaryota; Metazoa; Chordata; Lepidosauria; Squamata; Colubridae.
CGCCCAGACGUCAUCACGGACACUCUGUGCAUGCGCAGAAGGUUCUCAGUUCUGAACCAGUAGCGAAGGUUGGCAGGAGCUGGGGCAGGAAUGGGAACUCACCCUGUCACACAGUAUCUGGGUCACGAACUGCCCACUUUCUGGUUAACAAACCCAGCAUUUACUACAAGCAGAUUAUAUGGGAAGACACUGGCCUCUCAUUGAAAAAUUGCCCAGAGAACCAAAAUGAAGGCUCAGAGGUCUGAAGCAUUUUUCAACCAUGAAGUUGGACUCUCAUCCUGAAGCUUUUAAUUU